ACAUGACAAGGUGCAAUGGCCUACAACAAAGAUUUGGUUGCUACGACAAGAGGUACGCUCCACAUCGAUCUACAUAUCAAAUUUUAGAUAAUUAGCAUGCGACAUCAAUUGGAACGAGGAAGCAUUGAUGAGUCAAUUUUAUUGGAGCUUGAAAGAUGGCAUGAAAGAUUUGUUAUUAUUUCUUUUCGAUCCAUAAACACUCAACAAAUCCAUUAGCCAAGCUAUGAAGUGCGA
Molecule: long non-coding RNA, 234 nt
Filed under: Physcomitrium patens
Lineage: Eukaryota; Viridiplantae; Streptophyta; Bryopsida; Funariales; Funariaceae
Description: long non-coding RNA (PPAT_LNC004390)
Source: RNAcentral